UACGUAGGGACCAAGCGUUGUUCGGAUUUACUGGGCGUAAAGGGCGCGUAGGCGGCAAUUCAAGUCAGCUGUGAAAUCUCCGGGCUUAACUCGGAACGGUCAGCUGAUACUGCUUUGCUAGAGUGCAGAAGGGGCAAUCGGAAUUCUUGGUGUAGCGGUGAAAUGCGUAGAUAUCGGAAGGAACAUCAGUGGCGAAAGCGGCUUCCUGGACCAGAACUGACGAUCAGGCUCGAAAGCGUGGGGAGCAAACAGG
RNAcentral lists this ribosomal RNA (253 nucleotides) under uncultured bacterium. RNAcentral describes it as "partial 16S ribosomal RNA". It matches the Rfam family "Bacterial small subunit ribosomal RNA", at positions 524 to 776 of the family's 1533-position model. The record is from RNAcentral.